This is a long non-coding RNA of Hypomesus transpacificus, 376 nucleotides long. RefSeq lists it as uncharacterized. Lineage: Eukaryota; Metazoa; Chordata; Actinopteri; Osmeriformes; Osmeridae. The record is from RefSeq and is a predicted model, not a curated record. The transcript has 4 exons.
CUGUCAUGCAGGUCCAGAUGAGAGGUGUACUUCUGUUCUGUCUGCUGCUGGGUCACAUUCUGGUUGAAGCUGGAAAACCGGUUUCUUUGUGGCCGUUAGGAAGCAGGCGACCACUUGAGAAUGAUGCGGGGUUCGAGCCAAAAGAUGCGCCGUCUCCAAUGCACUUAAUUUCAGUGAACAUUGGACUUGGAAAUGAUGCAGGGUUUGGAUCUGAGGAAACUACAGGAAAUCAGAUGACACCUCCAAAUUCCACCACACCAGCGGAAACCAGCCAGUUGACUUCAUUCGUUCUUUCAUUAAUUAAUGUAUUAUUUAACUGACUCAUGAAUUAAUCCACCAAUACUUGUCAUUUCUUCAAAUAAAAAGACUACAUGUA